RNAcentral lists this small RNA (350 nucleotides) under Histoplasma capsulatum var. duboisii H88. RNAcentral describes it as "Histoplasma capsulatum H88 hypothetical RNA". The record is from RNAcentral. Lineage: Eukaryota; Fungi; Ascomycota; Eurotiomycetes; Onygenales; Ajellomycetaceae.
CCGCAACACGUCCGAGAGAUAUUCGAGGAAUCUGUUCGAGGGUCAGAAUCUGCGUGAAGGCUUGCUGCUUUCCGCGAGAAGAGACAGCCUCACUGGGUCAAACCAAAUCUAUGAACAACAACAGACCAAACCUUGUGUUCGCUCGCCGUUGACCUCGCCGUUGACAGCUUAAAUCUGUUACUGGGUACUUAUUUCUCUCUUUUUCGCAAUUUCUCCCCCUGGGAUCCCGUAAUAUAUAUACAUCUUUAUAGCAAAGCCGCAAUGAUCCAGAAAUGUCCCAUAUUUUUUGUCAACUACUCCCAAAUGUUAUAUUGACAACUCGGUACGUAUUGCCGAGAUAAUAUACUAGU